GACCUCAAAUCAGGUAGGACUACCCGCUGAACUUAAGCAUAUCAAUAAGCGGAGGAAAAGAAACUAACGAGGAUUCCCCUAGUAACUGCGAGUGAAGCGGGAAGAGCUCAAAUUUCGAAUCUGGCGGCCCUCGGUCGUCCGAGUUGUAAUCUAGAGAAGCGUCUUCCGCGCUGGACCGUGUACAAGUCUCCUGGAAGGGAGCAUCGUAGAGGGUGACAAUCCCGUCUCUGACACGGAACCCCCAGGGCUAUGUGAUGCGCUCUCGACGAGUCGAGUUGUUUGGGAAUGCAGCUCAAAUCGGGUGGUAAACUCCAUCUAAAGCUAAAUAUUGGCGAGAGACCGAUAGCGAACAAGUACCGUGAGGGAAAGAUGAAAAGCACUUUGGAAAGAGAGUUAAACAGUACGUGAAAUUGCUGGAAGGGAAACGCUUGAUGUCAGUCGCGUCGACCGGGGAUCAACCUUGCUUCUAGCUGGGCGUAUUUCCCGGUAGACGGGUCAGCAUCGAUUUCGGCCGUCGUAGAAGGGCGGGAGCGAACGUGGCACUCUCCGGAGUGUGUUAUAGCCUCCCGUACGGAUGCGAUGGCCGGGAUCGAGGAACUCGGCACGACCCCUCGAGGGUUCGGGACUUCGGUCCACGUAGCGUGCCCAGGA
Molecule: ribosomal RNA, 651 nt
Filed under: uncultured fungus
Lineage: Eukaryota; Fungi
Description: eukaryotic LSU rRNA
Rfam family: Eukaryotic large subunit ribosomal RNA
Source: RNAcentral